GCGUGAAUGAUGAAGGCCUUCGGGUUGUAAAGUUCUUUUGGGUGGGACGAUAAUGACGGUACCACCAGAAUAAGCUCCGGCUAACUUCGUGCCAGCAGCCGCGGUAAUACGAAGGGAGCUAGCGUUGUUCGGAAUUACUGGGCGUAAAGGGUGCGUAGGCGGUUUGAUAAGUCAGAUGUGAAAGCCCCGGGCUUAACCCGGGAACUGCGUUUGAGACUGUCAAGCUUGAAUUCGGAAGAGGUGAGUGGAAUUCCCAGUGUAGAGGUGAAAUUCGU
This 275-nucleotide ribosomal RNA is filed under the name uncultured bacterium. RNAcentral's name for it is "partial 16S ribosomal RNA". It matches the Rfam family "Bacterial small subunit ribosomal RNA", at positions 399 to 691 of the family's 1533-position model. The record is from RNAcentral.